Molecule: unclassified non-coding RNA, 80 nt
Filed under: Pseudomonas antarctica
Lineage: Bacteria; Pseudomonadati; Pseudomonadota; Gammaproteobacteria; Pseudomonadales; Pseudomonadaceae
Source: RNAcentral
GGAAGGGGCUUGCUCCCGAUGGCAGUGUGUCAGUCACCAAGGUUUCACUGAACCACCCCCAUCGGGAGCAAGCCCCCUCC